AUGCAAGUCGCACGGUCAGCAAUGGCAGUGGCGGACGGGUGAGUAACACGUAGGAAUCUAUCCCAGGGUGGGGGACAACAGCGGGAAACUGCUGCUAAUACCGCAUGAUACCUGAGGGUCAAAGGCGCAAGUCGCCUUGGGAGGAGCCUGCGUCUGAUUAGCUUGUUGGUGAGGUAAAGGCUCACCAAGGCUACGAUCAGUAGCUGGUCUGAGAGGAUGAUCAGCCACAUUGGGACUGAGACACGGCCCAAACUCCUACGGGAGGCAGCAGUGGGGAAUAUUGGACAAUGGGCGAAAGCCUGAUCCAGCAAUGCCGCGUGUGUGAAGAAGGUCUUCGGAUUGUNAAGCACUUUUGGCAGGGACGAUGAUGACGGUACCUGCAGAAUAAGCCCCCGGCUACUUCGUG
This 406-nucleotide ribosomal RNA is filed under the name uncultured bacterium. RNAcentral describes it as "bacterial SSU rRNA". It matches the Rfam family "Bacterial small subunit ribosomal RNA", at positions 55 to 507 of the family's 1533-position model. The record is from RNAcentral.